Molecule: ribosomal RNA, 253 nt
Filed under: uncultured bacterium
Lineage: Bacteria
Description: partial 16S ribosomal RNA
Rfam family: Bacterial small subunit ribosomal RNA
Source: RNAcentral
GACGGAGGAUGCAAGCGUUAUCCGGAAUUAUUGGGCGUAAAGCGUCCACAGGUGGCAGUUCAAGUCUGCUGUCAAAGACCGGGGCUUAACUUCGGAAAGGCAGUGGAAACUGAACAGCUAGAGUAUGGUAGGGGCAGAGGGAAUUCCUGGUGUAGCGGUGAAAUGCGCAGAUAUCAGGAGGAACACCAACGGCGAAGGCAGCUUGCUGGGACGGUACUGACGCUGAGGCGCGAAAGCGUGGGGAGCGAACAGG